This 1614-nucleotide unclassified non-coding RNA is filed under the name Hevea brasiliensis (rubber tree). The record is from RNAcentral. Lineage: Eukaryota; Viridiplantae; Streptophyta; Magnoliopsida; Malpighiales; Euphorbiaceae.
CCACCACCACCACCACCACCACCUUUCAGUUCUUCUAAAGGUCCCAGUCCCCCUCCAGUUCCUCCACCUCCUCCUCUUCCUUCAAUAUCUAACCCAUCAUUGUCGCCACCACCACGGCCACCACCGCCACCGCCACCACCAGUUAAAAAUUGGGAUAGUCCAAAAACUCCAACACCACCAAUUUCAAAGCCACUAUCUAGACCUCCAGUUCUUGUAACUCCUUUAAGACCCAUAGAACUUGAUAGUCCAGUGCUGAUUUCCCCAAUGGAGUUGCCUUGUAAUAAGCAAACCAUUGAGAAGAAUGAGCAGAGUAUAGAAGGCUUAUCGAGUGAUUCUGGUGGGAACAAUGAGGAAACUCCAAAACCAAAGUUGAAGACUUUGCAUUGGGAUAAAGUAAGAGCUAGUUCUGAUCGGGAAAUGGUGUGGGAUCAACUGAAAUCAAGUUCAUUUAAAUUGGAUGAGGAGAUGAUAGAAAGCUUGUUUAUUGUGAAGAACCCAACUCUAAAUCCAAAAGAAAUGACUAGACGCCCUCUUCUUCCCUCGCAGAGCCAAGAGAAUAGGGUACUUGAUCCAAAGAAGUCACAAAAUAUUGCAAUUUUGCUAAGAGCACUAAAUGUAACUGUUGAGGAAGUAUGUGAAGCCCUUUUAGAAGGAAAUGCUGAUGCCCUAGGGACUGAGCUCCUUGAGAGUUUAUUGAAGAUGGCUCCAUCCAAAGAAGAAGAAUGCAAGCUGAAAGACUAUAAAGAUGAUACUCCGUUUAAGCUUGGGUCAGCCGAGAAGUUUCUCAAGGCAGUGCUUGAUAUACCUUUUUCAUUCAAAAGGGUAGAUGCUAUGCUGUACAUAUCAAAUUUUGAUUCUGAGGUUGACUACCUCAAAAAGUCAUUUGAAACUCUGGAGGCUGCUUGUGAAGAGUUGAGAAGCAAUAGAAUGUUCUUAAAGCUUCUGGAAGCAGUUCUGAAGACCGGUAACCGCAUGAAUGUUGGGACAAAUCGGGGUGAUGCACAUGCGUUCAAACUAGAUACCCUUCUAAAGCUUGUAGAUGUGAAGGGAGCUGAUGGGAAAACAACCCUCUUGCAUUUUGUGGUACAGGAGAUCAUAAGAAGUGAAGGUGCUCGUCUUUCUGGGGGAGAUCAAGAUCAACAGUCGGCCAUGAACGAUGACUUCAAGUGCCGGAAGCUUGGCCUCCAAGUUGUUUCGAACCUUAGUUCAGAGGUUGUAAAUGUUAAGAAAGCUGCUGCUAUGGAUUCAGAAGUGCUUCAUAGUGAGGUGUUAAAACUUUCUAAAGGGAUUGGAAACAUUGCUGAAGUUGUCCGAUCAAUUGAAGCAGUUGGCUUGAAGGAAAGCAGCAUAGAAAGAUUUUCGGAGUCCAUGAGAAGGUUUAUGAAAAUGGCAGAAGAUGAGAUCAUAGGGCUCCAAGCUCUAGAAAGUGUUGCCAUGUCGUUGGUGAAAGAAAUAACUGAAUACUUCCAUGGAAAUUCAGCGAGAGAAGAGGCUCACCCUUUUAGGAUCUUUAUGGUGGUAAGAGACUUCCUAAUGGUUCUUGAUCGCGUUUGCAAAGAAGUUGGAAUGAUAAAUGAACGUACAGUAGUCAGUUCUGCCCACAAGUUUCCAGUU